This is a small nuclear RNA of Mirounga angustirostris (Northern elephant seal), 106 nucleotides long. The record is from RefSeq and is a predicted model, not a curated record. NCBI's taxonomy places the organism in Eukaryota, Metazoa, Chordata, Mammalia, Carnivora, Phocidae.
UUGUUUUGGCAGCACAUAUACUAAAAAAAUUGGACUGAUACAGAGAAGAUUAGCAUGGCCCUUGCCCAAGGAUGACAUGCAAAUUUGUGAAGCAUUCCACAAAAAA